GACGAACGCUGACGGCGUGCCUUAGACAUGCAAGUCGAACGAGAAAGCCCUUCGGGGUUAGUAAAGUGGCGAACGGGUGAGUGACACGUGGGCAAUCUGCCCUUCGUUGGGGGACAACCGGGGGAAACCCCGGCUAAUACCCCGUAAGCUUGUCGGGUCGCAUGGCCUGACAAGGAGAAGUAGCUUCGGCCAUCCGGCGAAGGAGGAGCCCGCGGUACAUUAGCUAGUUGGUGAGGUAAAGGCCCACCAAGGUGACGAUGUAUAGCUGGUCUGAGAGGAUGAUCAGCCACACUGGGACUGAGACACGUCCCAGACUCCUACGGGAGGCAGCAGUCGGGAAUCUUGCACAAUGGGCGAAAGCCUGAUGCAGCAACGCCGUGUGAGCGACGAAGGCCCUAGGGUCGUAAAGCUCUGUUGUUAGGGACGAAGGGCGAAGGGUUAAUAGCCCUUAGCCUGACGGUACCUUUCGAGGAAGCCCCGGCUAACUUCGUGCCAGCCGCCGCGGUAA
Molecule: ribosomal RNA, 508 nt
Filed under: uncultured bacterium
Lineage: Bacteria
Description: partial 16S ribosomal RNA
Rfam family: Bacterial small subunit ribosomal RNA
Source: RNAcentral